This 411-nucleotide ribosomal RNA is filed under the name uncultured bacterium. Its description in RNAcentral is "bacterial SSU rRNA". It matches the Rfam family "Bacterial small subunit ribosomal RNA", at positions 30 to 441 of the family's 1533-position model. The record is from RNAcentral.
AUUGAACGCUGGCGGCAUGCCUUACACAUGCAAGUCGAACGGCAGCACGGGGGCAACCCUGGUGGCGAGUGGCGAACGGGUGAGUAAUGCAUCGGAACGUGCCCUGAAGUGGGGGAUAACGUAGCGAAAGUUACGCUAAUACCGCAUAUUCUGUGAGCAGGAAAGCAGGGGAUCGCAAGACCUUGCGCUUUAGGAGCGGCCGAUGUCGGAUUAGCUAGUUGGUGGGGUAAGAGCUCACCAAGGCGACGAUCCGUAGCGGGUCUGAGAGGAUGAUCCGCCACACUGGGACUGAGACACGGCCCAGACUCCUACGGGAGGCAGCAGUGGGGAAUUUUGGACAAUGGGCGCAAGCCUGAUCCAGCCAUGCCGCGUGAGUGAAGAAGGCCUUCGGGUUGUAAAGCUCUUUCGGCG